Molecule: non-coding RNA, 85 nt
Filed under: uncultured Alterileibacterium sp.
Lineage: Bacteria; Bacillati; Bacillota; Clostridia; Peptostreptococcales; Anaerovoracaceae
Description: Glycine riboswitch
Rfam family: Glycine riboswitch aptamer
About the family: This family represents the bacterial glycine riboswitch. Glycine riboswitches usually consist of two metabolite-binding aptamers domains with similar structures in tandem.
Source: RNAcentral
UUACUCCGGAGAAAUCUGAUAAUCAGAUGCCGAAGGGGCAAGGCGCAAUUGACGCAUAAUCUCUCAGGCAAAAGGACGGAGACAU